GGUCCUAACGUUACAACAACUGAUCCUCCACGUUCAGGACCUUCAGGCGGGCAAAUCGGAGGGAUUAUAGGAGGUCUGAGUGGCGUCAUUGUCGUUAUUAUUGUUGUUGUUGUAACUACGUCAAAUUGGCAUCGCAAGAAAAAAGCCGAGCGUGAGCGUGCAGGGAGGUGCUGAACACCAUUGUCCGCCAGUGUCUGCGAAAAGAAGUCAGAGAAUCUGCCAUGGGAGAAUCAUGAUCAAACUUGACUUUGAUUUCAAUCAUUUUUUUUAGGAUUAACAAUGUAAUGAUAAAAGCGAAAGCGUUUCUCACUUCCUAUUGCACUGCCCUAACUAUAGUAACCGACGUUGACUUCUAUUUGACAGACUAAGAAAUUGAAUAUAUCAACUCUUAAUAUAAAUGCCUUACCAGAAACAGCUACUGUAAAUUUGUUACUUAGGGGUUCGCAUCUACUCGACAACUAUUGCUCAGGUAUUAUAUAUAACUCAGUUGUAUUUGUUGGUAACGAAACUAUUUUCAUAGUUUAAUAGAUUUUCUGUUAUUAUAAUA
Molecule: long non-coding RNA, 547 nt
Organism: Branchiostoma floridae (Florida lancelet)
Lineage: Eukaryota; Metazoa; Chordata; Leptocardii; Amphioxiformes; Branchiostomatidae
Exons: 3
Source: RefSeq, a predicted model, not a curated record